AUAUUGGACAAUGGGCGAAAGCCUGAUCAAGCCAUGCCGCGUGUGUGAAGAAGGUCUGCGGAUUGUAAAGCACUUUACGUUGGGAGGAAGGGCAGUAAGUUCAUACCUUGCUGUUUUGACGCUACCGACAGAAUAAGCACCGGCCAACUCCGUGCCAGCAGCCGCGGUACUACGAAGGGUGCAAGCGUUAACCGGAAUUACUAGGCGUAAAGCGCGCGUAGGUGGGUUGUUAAGUUGGAAGUGAGAGCCCCGGGCUUAACCUGGGAACUGCUUUCAUAACUGCUGAGCUAGAGUACGGUAGAGGGUAGUGGAAUUUCCUGUGUAGCGGUGAAAUGCGUAGAUAUAGGAAGGAACACCAGUGGCGAAGGCGACUACCUGGACUGAUACUGACACUGAGGUGCGAAAGCGUGGGGAGCAAA
RNAcentral lists this ribosomal RNA (419 nucleotides) under uncultured bacterium. RNAcentral's name for it is "partial 16S ribosomal RNA". It matches the Rfam family "Bacterial small subunit ribosomal RNA", at positions 361 to 772 of the family's 1533-position model. The record is from RNAcentral.